Molecule: ribosomal RNA, 1725 nt
Filed under: Triticum aestivum (bread wheat)
Lineage: Eukaryota; Viridiplantae; Streptophyta; Magnoliopsida; Poales; Poaceae
Description: partial small subunit ribosomal RNA
Source: RNAcentral
AUGCAGCAGCGGCGCAAGUCGGUGUUCGGGUCGGCGCCCUACGCGAUGAAGCAGGCCGCGCUGGGGGCGGGCGUGGCGGCGCGCAAGAACGGCACGCCGCUCUCCAUGGCGGCGGUGGUCUUCUCGCUCUUCGUCUUCGCCACCUUCCUCUACAACGAGGACAUCAAGUCCAUCGCCGACUUCCCCUUCGGCGCUGGCGCCGGCGCGCUCCGCGCCAAGUCCCCCGACCUCCACCUCCUGCAGGAGGCCGAGGCCGCCGCGCACCAGGCCGUCACCACCCUCGCCAUGCGCGGGGAGGAGGCCAUCGUGCGUGUCCUCGACGCGCCAGCCGCCGGGGCCCUUCUUCCGGUAGCCAACGCGGGCGCCGGUAACGGCAAAAACGCCACCGGGACCGGGGUGGUGGUGGCCAAGGUCAGCGCCGUCUCCAACGCCAACGCCAACACGGCCGGCGCCAAUGCCGGCAAGGAGGAGGAGGGGCAGGAGAAGGACAGGGACGUGACGCUCCCGAACGUGACGGGAGGCGGCGGCGCGGAGGAGGCGAAGCGGCGGGAGGACGAGGAGGCGGCCGAGCGGGCGUCGACGGCGAAGGCCGCGGCGGCGACGGCGGCGGCGCUGCGGACGGCGGUGGUGAGCGUGCCGGAGACGUGCGACCUGUACCGCGGCAGCUGGGUGUACGACGAGGUGAACGCGCCGGUGUACAAGGAGACGCACUGCGAGUUCCUGACGGAGCAGGUGACCUGCAUGCGCAACGGCCGCCGCGACGACUCGUAUCAGAAGUGGCGGUGGCAGCCGACCGACUGCGACCUCCCCCGGUUCGACGCUCGUCUGCUGCUGGAGCGGCUGCGCAACAAGCGGCUGAUGUUCGUGGGGGAUUCGCUGAACCGGAACCAGUGGGAGUCGAUGGUGUGCCUGGUCCAGUCGGUGAUCCCCAAGGGCCACAAGACCCUCACCAAGUUCGUCAACAACGGAUCCAGCAACGUCUUCUACGCCCACGAUUACAACGCGACGGUGGAGUUCUACUGGGCGCCCUUCCUGGUGGAGUCCAACUCGGACAACCCCAAGGUGCACAGCGUCCCGGACCGCGUCAUACAGUGGCACUCCAUCGCCAAGCACGCCAAGAACUGGGUCAGCGUCGACUACCUCGUCUUCAACACCUACAUCUGGUGGCUCAGCGCGCUCGACAUGAAAGUCCUGAAAAAAGGGUCGUUCGACGAGGGGGCUACCGAGUACGAGGAGGUGGACCGGCCCGUGGCGUACAGCGAGGUGCUCAAGACGUGGGCCAAGUGGGUCGACCGCAACAUUGACCCCAACAGCACCACCGUCUUCUUCAUGGGCAUGUCACCCAACCACAUCACGCCGGAGGCAUGGGGCAACGAGGGCGGCAUCAAGUGCGCAAUGGAGACGCAGCCGAUCGCCAACCGGAGCGCGACGCUGGACGUGGGCACGGACUGGCGCCUCUACGCGGGCGCCCAGGACGUGCUCAAGACGUUCCGCCGCGUGCCGGUGCACUUCGUGGACAUCACGGCGCUGUCGGAGCUCCGCAAGGACGCGCACACGUCGGUGCACACGCUCCGGCAGGGGAAGCUGCUCACGCCGGAGCAGCAGGCCAACCCCAAGACGUACGCCGACUGCAUCCACUGGUGCCUGCCGGGCCUGCCCGACACCUGGAACCAGUUCCUCUACGCCCGCAUCGUCUCCAGUGCCUCCACCCAACGCCAAGAGUAG